GAUGAACGCUGACAGAAUGCUUAACACAUGCAAGUCCACUUGAACUUCGGUUUGGGUGGCGGACGGGUGAGUCACGCGUAAAGAACUUGCCUCACAGAUAGGGACAACAUUUGGAAACGAAUGCUAAUACCUGAUAUUAUGAUUAUAUGGCAUCGUAUAAUUAUGAAAGCUAUAUGCGCUGUGAGAGAGCUUUGCGUCCCAUUAGCUAGUUGGAGAGGUAACGGCUCACCAAGGCGAUGAUGGGUAGCCGGCCUGAGAGGGUGAUCGGCCACAAGGGGACUGAGACACGGCCCUUACUCCUACGGGAGGCAGCAGUGGGGAAUAUUGGACAAUGGACCAAGAGUAUGAUCCAGCAAUUCUGUGUGCACGAUGAAGUUUUUCGGAAUGUAAAGUGCUUUCAGUUGGGAAGAAAAAAAUGACGGUACCAACAGAAGAAGUGACGGCUAAAUACGUG
This 454-nucleotide ribosomal RNA is filed under the name uncultured bacterium. RNAcentral's name for it is "partial 16S ribosomal RNA". It matches the Rfam family "Bacterial small subunit ribosomal RNA", at positions 28 to 507 of the family's 1533-position model. The record is from RNAcentral.